UGGGCGUAAGUCUCUGGGAUUAGACCCGAAACCACAGUGAUCUAUGCAUGGCCAGGUUGAAGCUCAGGUAAAAAUGAGUGGAGGACCGAACCCGUGAGUGUUGAAAAACUUUGGGAUGAGUUGUGCAUAGGGGUGAAAUGCCAAUCGAACGUGGAGAUAGCUGGUUCUCCCCGAAAUAGCUUUAGGGCUAGCCUCAGGUAACACAUGAAGACGGUAGAGCACUGAUCGGGUAAGGGAGCGUAAAGCUUGCCGAGCCUAGUCAAACUGCGAAUGGCUUCAUGAGAAGAGCCUGGGAGUCAGAAUGCGAGUGAUAAGACCCGUAUUCAAAAGGGAAACAGCCCAGACCGCCGACUAAGGUCCCGAAUGCUGUACUAAGUGGAAAAGGAUGUAGGACUUCCAAAACAGCCAGGAUGUUGGCUCAGAAGCAGCCACCAUUCAAAGAGUGCGUAAUAGCUCACUGGUCGAGAGGCCCUGCGCCGAAAAUAUCCGGGGCUCAAGUACAGAACCGAAGUCGCGGGAUGCGCAAGCAUCGGUAGGGGAGCGUUCCAAGGGCGUUGAAGGCCGACCGGAGGGACGGCUGGAGCGUUUGGAAGUGAGAAUGCUGGUAUGAGUAGCGAAACGAUCCGUGGGAAUCGGAUCCACCGAAAGCCUAAGGGAUCCUGAGCAACGCUCGUCGACUCAGGGUAAGUCGGGACCUAAGCCGAGGCAUAAAGCAUAGGCGAUGGACAACAGGCGAAAAUUCCUGUACUGCAUGAUGUUGUUUGAGGAUGGAGUGACACAGCAAGGAGCUUGAGCGCGCGAUUGGAAAUGCGCGUCGAAGGCGGUAGGCUGAGUGAGAGGCAAAUCCCUCACUCAAGGCCGAGAACUGACAGAUAGGAGCGUACUUCGGUACAAUCCGAAUUCAAGCGUACUACACUGUCGAGAAAAGCUUCUAACGAGACAUCAUGUACCCGUACCAAAACCGACACAGGUAGGCGGGGAGAGAAUCCUAAGGUGCGCGGGAAAACCCUCGUUAAGGAACUCGGCAAAAUGCAUCCGUAACUUCGGGAGAAGGAUGGCCGGGGCUGGUGAAGAGAUUGACUCUUGGAGCUGGAGCCGGCGGCAGAAGAGAAGCCCGAGCGACUGUUUACCACAAACACAGGUGCCUGCUAAAGAGAAAUCUGACGUAUAGGUGCUGACACCUGCCCGGUGCCGGAAGGUUAAGGAGAGAUGUCAGGAGCAAUCCGAAGCAUUGAACUGAAGCCCCAGUAAACGGCGGCCGUAACUAUAACGGUCCUAAGGUAGCGAAAUUCCUUGUCGGGUAAGUUCCGACCCGCACGAAAGGUGUAACGACUUGGGCACUGUCUCAACGAGGGACCCGGUGAAAUUGAAAUACCUGUGAAGAUGCAGGUUACCCGCGACUGGACAGAAAGACCCCAUGGAGCUUUACUGCAGCCUGACAUUGAUUUUUGGCAUGUAACGUACAGGAUAGUUGGGAGACGGAGAAGAUAGCCCG
This 1495-nucleotide ribosomal RNA is filed under the name metagenome. RNAcentral describes it as "bacterial LSU rRNA". It matches the Rfam family "Bacterial large subunit ribosomal RNA", at positions 689 to 2170 of the family's 2925-position model. The record is from RNAcentral.